This 385-nucleotide ribosomal RNA is filed under the name uncultured microorganism. RNAcentral describes it as "bacterial SSU rRNA". It matches the Rfam family "Archaeal small subunit ribosomal RNA", at positions 330 to 721 of the family's 1478-position model. The record is from RNAcentral.
GCGCAGCAGUCGAGAAACUUUACAAUGUGCGAAAGCACGAUAAGGGAACUCUGAGUGCCACCUAAGGAGGCUGUUCAGGUGUCUAAAAGCACCUGAAGGAAGGGCUGGGUAAGACCGGUGCCAGCCGCCGCGGUAACACCGGCAGCCCAAGUGGUAGCCACGUUUAUUGGGUCUAAAGCGUCCGUAGCCGGCUGGGUAAGUUCCUUGGGAAAUUUGGCUGCUUAACAGUCAAGCUUUCAGGGAAUACUGCCCGGCUUGGGACCGGGAGAGGUCAGAGGUACUCCAGGGGGUAGGGGUGAAAUUCAUUAAUCCUUGGGGGACCACCGGUAGCGAAGGCGUCUGACCAGACCGGGUCCGACGGUGAGGGACGAAGGCUAGGGGCGCG